Molecule: long non-coding RNA, 1284 nt
Filed under: Coffea arabica (coffee)
Lineage: Eukaryota; Viridiplantae; Streptophyta; Magnoliopsida; Gentianales; Rubiaceae
Description: long non-coding RNA (CARA_LNC000627)
Source: RNAcentral
CAAUCUCCAACUUCAUCCUUUUUUAGCUAUUACACAAGAAAGAAUGAACUAACUAAAAUCUGGACUAACCUAUACUAGCUUAAAUUAAGAGUUUUGCAGUUUAAGAGCUACAUUUUUAGUGAUUUUCUAUGUUCCUCCAAGCUCCAAGUUUAGUUCAAAUGAAAGACACAAACUCCUAUUUAUAGAGAAUUUUUCAAGUCUCUUUGUAUCUUCUCCAACAUGAACUUUUGACAAAAUUAGCUUCAAAAGUCAAGAUUUGUGGUUCAAUGAAAUCAAGGAGAUUUGAAGUGACAUAAAAUUAUUUUUUGAUGAUGCUUGAGCUUGGUUUCUAGUCACCAAAGUGUCUUGUCAAAUCUCCAAUCAAAAGCAAGAAAGAGUAGCUCCAAAAGAAAUCAAGUUGCACAAGUUGUGCAACUUGCAUCAAAAUUUUGGCUAAGGAACCGGUGAUAGAACCAGUCUUGCUUCCCAUGGUUUCAUGGCCGGUUUGUGUAGAUAACCAGCUAAGAAACUGGCUGAGUUUCAACCAGUUUGAUGUCUGUUUUUUUUGCUCUACGCCGCUAUCAAUUUUCUUGCUUCAAUGCUUCUUGCAUCAUUCCUCGACUUGGCUACUUGAUAAUUGAUAUAUUCGUUAUCCUCAUCCCUUUUUCUACAAAUGCAAUCACACAAAAUGAGUAAAAGUGGACAAAGAUAAUAACAUUAAUCAAACUAUACUCAAGCAAUUAAUUCUUAAGAAAAGUGCCACUUGAACUCUUGAUUCUAGUCGAAAAUAACUAAAAAACUUCUAAAAAGUGCCACAAAAUAUAGUACCCAAUAAGCAUUUAUCAAUUGAAAAACCUUAUUUUACUUUUUUUUUUUAUAAUAAAACAUAUUUCAUUAAAGGAUUACUGGAAAUCGUCCAGCACAAUUGAUAUACAUUGCUGCCCUGAUGGCAGAUAAACAUGCACUAAAAUUAUAGAUCUUCAAUUUAACAAAUACAUAAGAUUUGAGAAAUUAAGGACAGAUCUAAAUAGUACCAUAAAUUUGAAAAACAUUCCAUCAUAGAAUAAGUCGCUGCAGCUCUCUUUGUGCAUGCUGUAAUCGUCAGAUCUGCUAAUCAACAGUUGUAAGGUCCAAUAAGAAUGAUGAGAUCUGCCGAGAUAGAUCCAAAUCUGAAAUAUUCCCUCAGAUCUGUUAUCCAACUGGUUCAAGCUCAAAACUGAAAAUGAGAUCUGAUGAGAAGAGUGAAGAAAUUUUAGAUCUAACAUAUAGAUCUAAAAAACUCCAAGAUUUGAGAAAAUAAAGAAC